RNAcentral lists this long non-coding RNA (209 nucleotides) under Mytilus galloprovincialis (Mediterranean mussel). Lineage: Eukaryota; Metazoa; Mollusca; Bivalvia; Mytilida; Mytilidae. The record is from RNAcentral.
CAUUGAAAGGAGUGAAUAAACGAACAUUGAUGCAAAUUAAUUUCUCGACAUGUAACGUUUUGUUUGGCAUGUUAGACUGUAGAAGACCUGGAAUUUACUGUGGUUAGAGAAGCGAUGUUUAAAGCAUAUUCUUUUAAUGGAUUUUUAUAAAAUGGGUUGAAAUAAAGGAUUUUUAAAAUGCCAGUUCGACGCGGACAUGUCGCCCCUCC